AAAAGGGAGAAAGAGAUUUUGCACCAGUUCAAACCAAACCGAUGCGAAAUAGUGUUUAAGCAUCGGUUCAAACCGGUGCGAAAUUUAAAAAAAAAACCGGGCUGCGUGCUUUUCUUUCUUUCUUUCCCCCUAUCUCUCCAUCUCCUGUUUCCCUCUCAUUUUCGCCUUCUCUUCCACCAUCCCGAAUUUCCACUCCAUUGAAGCAUCACCUCCUUCUCUCUCCAUUGAAGUGAUUUACGAGCUUUCUCACUCCAUUGAAGCAGCACCUCCUUCUCUCUCCAUAUCUCUGGCCUCCAUUGAACUCGCCGUGCUCUAUAUUCUCCAUUGAAGCCAAUUUUGAGCUUUCUCACCUCCAUUGAAGCAGCUUCGAGGGUUUGUCAUUGAAGCGCGCACAACUCUACCUCCACCACAACGACCUCCUUGUCACAGCGGCAGGGCCUUCUUUUUCUAGGAGAGUGAUAGGCCAGUUCUUGUCAUCAAGGGUCCAAAUAGAAGAAUCAAUAGAUCUGUUUGGGGGCCUUUAAACAGCACUAUAAUCAGCUGUGGUGAAGAUGCUAUCAUCCGUGUCUGGGAUCCUGUGGUGUUGUCUCUAUCCAGCAAGAGUGAUAAUAAGCGUGCAAUUGAACAGUUGGUGACUGAAGAGACACAUUCAAGGAAAGAAGCAAAUGAAUUGAUAAAACUUGUUAGGUCUCGUGUAGUGGACAACAAUGGAACUUUUGUGAAACUACUCCAAAUAUGCGGACCUCAGCAAUUAUGGAAGCCAGGAAAUGGCUGCAGGAGAAAAGAUCAGGCUCAAAGAAAAAGUUUGAGAUGGAGCUUGAUUCCGCAAAUGUGGCGUCACCAUUCCAUCUUGAGAAUUGUUUGGGAAUUUAGUGAUCAAGGUGGUGGUUGAAAAUGACAGUGAGAGCGUCAUUCAUGCUAUCAAAGAAGGUGAAGCUGGCAAUCACUCCUUCCAGCUUCUGUUGGAGGAUAUUCACUUUGUUGCUAGCAAGUUCAAUUGUAUUUCUUGGGCAUGGGUGGGUAGAAAAGGUAAUAAGGAGGCUCAUGAGCUUGCUCAUGUGUUUCCUUGGGGUCUUGAUAGGAGAGUUUGGAUGUCUGAUUUUCCUCAGUGUGUUUGUAAUUUGGCUAUCUCUGAUUUUCAGUCGAGUAAUGAUAAUUGAGUUCCCUCUUGGGGCUUUGGUUCCAAAAAAAAAAAAAAGAAAAAAAAAGAGUGGUCAACUAGAAUCUCCAAGUUGUCCAGCUACCAGUAUUCCACAGUUGCUAUGUUAAGCCUUAAACUAAUCAUACUCUCUUGAAAACAUGUAAACCAAUCUUUAGGGUGGACACCUAACUGACUACAUUUGUAUUUAUAGUCUUUAAUUCUUAAUAUGUGAUUCUCUUUGCUAUCAUGCAACUCUGGAGCCCUUUUUCAAUGCUGCUGCUUCUCAAUUCGUUCUCGGACAGUCUAUCCCCAUUACUCUCUGGCUCUCCUUGGCUCCAGUUGUAAUUGGUGUUUCUAUGGCUUCCCUGACUGAGUUAUCAUUCAACUGGCUUGGCUUUAUCAGCGCUAUGAUUUCAAAUAUUUCCUUCACCUACAGGAGUAUCUACUCAAAGAAAGCCAUGGCAAUGCUUCUCUUGCAACUUCUUCCAUCUGCAAUUGGCUUACGCUUCCUAACAAUUUAGUGUAUUUGGCUUUUGCUUCCUAAUAAUUUUUCUCUCCAUUUUCAGACUGACAUUGACAGUACUAAUCUCUAUGGUCUUCAGAAAUUCAUUUCUCCUUGAUUAUGUAGUGUGUGUUUUUUUUUUUUUUUUUAGUUUUUUAAAGUGUAAUAUUACAAGUU
Chenopodium quinoa (quinoa) is the source of this 1820-nucleotide RNA transcript. RefSeq lists it as uncharacterized. The record is from RefSeq and is a predicted model, not a curated record. The transcript is spliced from 8 exons. NCBI's taxonomy places the organism in Eukaryota, Viridiplantae, Streptophyta, Magnoliopsida, Caryophyllales, Amaranthaceae.